GAGGGUAUAGCUCAAGUGGUAGAGCACAUGCUUAGCAUGCAUGAGGUCCUGGGUUCAAUCCCUGGCACCUACU
RNAcentral lists this transfer RNA (73 nucleotides) under Camelus bactrianus (Bactrian camel). It matches the Rfam family "tRNA". Rfam says of the family: Transfer RNA (tRNA) molecules are approximately 80 nucleotides in length. RNAcentral also lists the same sequence under 2 other names. The record is from Rfam by way of RNAcentral. Lineage: Eukaryota; Metazoa; Chordata; Mammalia; Artiodactyla; Camelidae.